UCCCUGGCGGUCCAGUGGUUAGGACUCUGUGCUUCUACCGCAGGGGGCCCAGGUUCAAUCCCUGGUUGGGGAA
This is a non-coding RNA of Mesoplodon densirostris (Blainville's beaked whale), 73 nucleotides long. Lineage: Eukaryota; Metazoa; Chordata; Mammalia; Artiodactyla; Ziphiidae. The record is from the annotation of a RefSeq genome assembly.